Molecule: long non-coding RNA, 5034 nt
Organism: Fukomys damarensis (Damara mole-rat)
Lineage: Eukaryota; Metazoa; Chordata; Mammalia; Rodentia; Bathyergidae
Exons: 4
Source: RefSeq, a predicted model, not a curated record
UCUUGCUUGUUGCCCCUGCAGUGUUGAAGCUUCAGGCUUUUUCCUGUAAGUCCUCUGAGCUUCUGCCCCGUCCCGCUGCUGAGUUGCCCUUUUGGUCCCUCCCGGCACAGACUUCAGUAGCUCAGUCACUCCCUCUGCGGCCACGCCCAGGUACUGCCCUGGGUCCAGGUGCCAGCCUAUGGACUCUUGCAGAAGACCGCCUAUUUUCCACAGGGGUAUCCCCAUCCUGCUGCAGUCAAAGCUUGCCAGGAUGGGCUACUGAGCCCCUGGGAGGUCAUCCUGCUGCUCACCCUCAGUUGAACUUACUAUGAGGAGGACUUAAUGACUCUACACUGUGAGUUUAGUGAGAAGAACAAAGCAGAACAACCCGGAAGAGAAUCGAGGGACCUAUGCACACACCCUAGGACAGCAAUGGCAGACCUUUUAGAGACUUCAGCGGUAACGGAAGCCUGCUGUGGCACUUGUGCCAUACGUCACCACCAUUGCUCUAGGAAGUGUCCUUGCCGGCUGGCUUUCAGGUGCUCCUGUGCCAUGUCCCUCAUCCAGCCCCAAGAAUAGCAGCCGCCAUGGUGGGUGGCCCCCCAGAGCCAACUCGUGCCCUUCACUUGAGCCUAUGGAAGGUGGCAGCCAACUGGAACCUGAUCCUCCCCAGCUCUGUGUCGUUGGCGCCUUACUCUGAGCGCAGGAGCCUGGGUGCAGGAUGUUCAGGUUUGAGGAGGGGUCCGGGCCACAGUCCUAGCCUUUGCCUUCUCUUCCCUCCUCCUUCCUGCCUCCCAGCUGGGGUGGGCUCUCUGGGGUUAGGGGUCCAUUCCUGGAGUAGGGAUGGGUGGCUCAGGGGAUAGGAUUUAAACAUUUUAGAGCAUUCUUUAUUGGGGGCCCUUUGAGGCCCUGUCCAUGAAUAAAUGUGGAAAAAGUUGUUUCAGGAGUUUAACAAGCAUGUCAGGAUUGUUUUUCUGUAUAGCCCAAACUAUCUAUAUCCACAGCUUACUGUAAAAUAUAGGUACCAAAAGCCAGGCCCUUUUAUACUUGUGAAUAUUUCUGUAUCACCUCAUGACAACCUCAUAAAUAUUGUUGACAGAUGGAGCCAUGUUUUGGAAAAAAGCCUUUCCAGACACACACAGUGUGGGAUGGGGUGGCUGUUGCUCAGGUGCUGCACCUGGCUGUGGAACUCGCUUGCUGGCUGGCGCAUUCCUCUGAGAGCUGCUUGUGGGGGUUCCUGCCUCCCAGAGGGUGAUGGGGAGUCGGGCCACCCCACCUGAGCAGCCUACCUCAGCCUCUCGGGGCCCUUCCCACUCUCCUCACGUUGACCUUGUUGUCCCGGAUGGGCAGAUACACUCGGCCUGACUCCACCAUGUCCGGUUUUGACAGGCCUGUCUGAAAUGGAAAUAUGGUAGGUCAAAAAUGCAGUGAAUGAACCCGGUCUAUGAACACCCUCGCUUAGCAGCACAGCACGGUGAAGUGGGGCUGUUUCGCCUUGAGACUGCAGGGCUAACAGCCCUGGCAGAGAGGAAGGACCUAGAGGAGAUCCAAAUUCAAAAUUUGAAGCAGACUCUUACUGAGUCCCGUUGUGCUUCCUUCGCCCCUCCCUCCGCUUCCCGCCCUCUUGUCUUCCCCUUCUGCUCGCACUGCUCUGCUUCUUCUGCUUCUGCCCUCCCCGCUCCACCUCCUCUUCCUCCUCCUCCUCCUCCUCCUUAUUACGGUUCUAGGCAUUUGCACUGAGCUUCAUCCCAGCCCUCUUCAAACCUUGCUAUGUGGAGGCAGGGUCUUCCUAAAGUCUUCCUAAGGACGGCAGCUUGCCAUCCUCCUGCCUCACCUCCUGGAGUGUUGGAUUGCAGGUGUGUACCCACCAUAUCAGGAGGACUGCAUACCACGUUGGCAACACGAUAAAGUGAAGAUCCUAAGUUGAAGCAGGAUAAGCGAGGGACCUCGGUGCUGUAUUUAUCAUAUUACACUGUCCUGUCUUGUGCUGUUUUGAUUCUCAUGGGCACGGUAGGAGUUAGGACCCUCGUGAAUUUAUGACUGAAGGCUGCGUGUCAUGCUAGUGACCAUCCUGGCCUGUUGACUAUGACAUGAAAGACACACUGGGCACAUAAUGGGCAGGCUGUGUUAUUCUGGAUUGCUUGGGUAAUAGAAACUGGAUUUUAGGGUCCCCCUGGGGCCACCCCUCUUUUCCCUGGGAAUGCACUCUUGUGGCUGGGAGGAGAAGAGUGGUUUAGUCCUCACUAACAAGGUCAGGGUCAUGCUUUCCCAGUCUGCCUGCCUGUGUCUGGAGAGCUGGGUGGAUUCCCGUUCCCGUCCUCAGGGAUGUACACAGCAGCACGCGACAGUCUGCACUGACCUGGGCUCUUAGGCACUGAGGCGUGGGGACGAUUUGUGGGGUGCUGCUGCACAGUCCUCACUUACGAACACUCAUUCGGGCGAUCCUUCCUCUGCCCGCAGGUGUCCAUCUGGAAAGCCCGUGGGGCAGACCCUGGCCUUGGCCCUCCCCGAAACCUGCCUGGGUCUGACUCUGUUGCCUCUUGCUUCGUCUCUAGCUACCCUGGCCCCUUGCACUGAUCUGGCCACUCUCGGCCCUUCUCUGUCCUUUGUCUGCGUGGCACAACUGUGUCUGCUCACAGUCAGAUUCUCUCACACCCUCUUGCUCUGUUUUCUGCUCAGUGUCAUCUUGUCAGAGGCCCCAUCUGUAGACCCCUCUGUCUCUCUCCUCCUGUGUGUUUGUUUCUCCCAAGGACAUGAUAUACCUGUUUACCAGCUGUAUUUCCAGCCACCUGCCCUUCCUGAUGAGCUCUACCUGGUGUCUGGGCCAAACUGGGGCUCAGAGGAGACACGGACAGUAGGGGGAGCCCUUGGACUUGGGUGGGCAAGUUUCAGGGAAGAAGCAAGGACAUUUCCCCAGCCUGAGCAACCCCUACUUUGCACUGCGGGCUCCUUCUGGAUCAUCACCUAGCGGACCCUAGACAUACACAGAGUCUGGAGGGAGCUCAUCCCCUACUCCACCGGCUCCUGCAGGCAGUCCACGGUGUGGCUGUGGCAUGGGUCUGCCAUUGCAGCCUCACCUCCUGUAUGCUGGGGCCUGUCAGUGAGACACCGUGCCUUUAUUCAGUAUUCCGUAAAUGCUCACUGACAAUUGGAGGGGCCAGAAGUUGACAAUACAAGUAUAAAACAGAUUCCGUGUUGUUAGGAAAGGUGAGCAGGAAUUAGCAGGGCAGGAAGAGGGAGCCACAUCCACUACAGUUCCCAAUACUGGGCAGCUGAAAUACCCCUAACACCAAGCUAGCUUGAAUCCAGGGCUCCCGGGGAAAGCACUGCCCUGCAGGAGAGAAAGAGGCAUGGCUGGAAAGUAGAUGUGGAAUAUAUGUUCCUUACAGAAAGGCUCCUGGAAGGCAGGCAGUGGGGUUGAAGCUUGAAUUGUGUUCUGGUUAGCUGUGGCUGCAUAAUGAAUUCCCCCCCAAAUGUAGUGCUCUCAAAAUAGCAGCAAUCAGCUUAUUAUUUCUGCUGGUUCUGGGGGUGGAACAGGCCCAAUAGUUGCUAUGCAGGUUCUUUCUUGUCACACUGUGACUUUCUUGCAGGUUCUGGUCAGACUGCGUGUGUGAUGGUUGACUUAUGUGUCACCUGGGCUUAUGGUGCCCAGAUAGUUGGUUAAAUAUUGUUUAAAUGCUACUGGGAAGGGCUUUGAAAGAUGUGAUUAACACUUAAACCAUUGAACUUUGUGUAAAACAAGUCACCUUCCGUGCUGGUUGAUUGGUUGUGUCAGCUUGAGUAAGAAACACCCAGCUACAAUUGGCUCGGAAGACCCACCUGAGGGAGGAUUGUCGCCAGAAUGGGAUAAAAGGGAAUUAAGACGGAAGCCUGCGUAUUUCUUCAGAGGGGCUCCAGUCUUCACCUUCACCUUGGACGGUCUCUCCUGGCUUCCAGCGAGGCCCUGUAGUCUCCUGAUAGGAUCUGCGGGGACACUACACCGAGCCCCAGGCCUUUGACCGGAUCCUUCUGAUCUCCAGCACACAGACAGCCCCUUUGCGCUCGUCCACGCCUGCCUGUGGGCGGCCAUUGUAAGCCAGUCUAUAACUGCUGAUAUAUUUGUGUAUCUUGUAUUAUACCUGUUUCUCCAGUAAACACUCACACACCUUCCACAGUGAGGGUGGGCCUCAUUCAGGCCGUUGAAGGCCUCUGUUUUCAGAAACUGUGGUGGAUACAUGAUGUGUCUGUUGGGCUAAUCUCAAAGCUUCCUCGGUUGUGUAUGUGGAGGCUGGGUGGGCUGAGACCUCUGCUGUGGUUGUGUUUCUCUGCGGGGUGCAGGGAACCUGGAGACUCCCUUAGGGAGAAGGCAUGACAAAGAGGAGGAAGUUACUAGAAUGAAAGGACAAACUGGUUCACCCAGAAACUGAAAGAUCGACUCUUUGGGAGCCAGCCAUCAUGUUUGGCCGCUGUCUCUGUGGCCUAAGGGCCUCCUCGAUCCCAGUGUGGGGUAGGGACGGGUAGAUCGGAAUAUAUCUGUGGGAGCAGACGUUGAGAAAUGAGAAUUCUCAGAAUCUGGCCAAGGCAGUGGAGUCAUAGGGGUCUGCACUGCAGUUUGCCAAGCGCACUGUGCAAGAAGGGUGGCUUGGGGCUGAGCCGCACCUGCUGGGGAGCUGCUUUUGCUUCUCACAGCGUUUGGUCAUAGCUCAGCAGGAGUCGGAAGUGCCUGGGAUGUGGUCUUUACCAUCAGGGACUGAGUGUGUGAAACAGCAGAGUGGGAAAGGAGCGUAGUGACGGGAAGGUUUGUGGGGAGUCCCAGUCUGAUGAUUCCAGGAGGAGGAGUCCGGCCUGGCCUGGCUCGGCUCUCUGAAGGCCACAGGGUGGUCAGCAGAGGCAGUCCCGCGCCUGGGGUGGGGGUGAAGCUGUGGGAGAUGCAAGAACUAUCCCACGUCCAUGCUGGAGUUGCUGGCUAUCAGGCCACGAUCUAGGGGAACUCAUGGGCUCAUUGUCUCCUCUGCUGGAAUAUCUACCCGAUUUUACUUCCCACAGUCAAUUCUCUCUCACCCUUCAGGUUCCAGG